Homo sapiens (human) is the source of this 1832-nucleotide long non-coding RNA. The record is from Ensembl. NCBI's taxonomy places the organism in Eukaryota, Metazoa, Chordata, Mammalia, Primates, Hominidae.
GAGCCUUAGUGUUGGAUUUGAAGGAAGAAGCCCCAGGAGCUGCUGAGAGCUGUUUUAUAACCAUGAGCCAUGUAAAAUGUGCCUCCUUCGUCUUCUCAUUCUGCCAUGAUUGUAAGUUUCCUGAGGUCUCCCCAGCCACGCUUCCUGAACAGCCUGCGGAACGGGAAUAUGGCUUGUGAACCGUACUGUCUGGGGUCCGAAUCCUGGCUCUAGUAUUUCCCAGUUGUGGAGUUUUGGGCAAGCAUGCCCUCAUCCUCCUGAGCCUCAGCAACGACACUUAUCUGACAAGGCUGGAGUGCAGUGGUGCGAUUAUAGCUCACGGCAGCCUUGAUCUUCUGGGCUCAAGUGAUCCUCCCACCUCAGCCACCCGAAGUGCUGGUAUUACAGGCGUGAGCCCCCAUGCCCAGCUUCAAUAUUUCUUUUAAGUGUGGUUUGUUUUUUUCACUGCCAACACAUUUUUAUCUUAAUGUUACCACCCAAGUCAACCAGAAGUCAUUUAAGAAAUAGCUGGUGUAGAAAAUAAUUUUGCAAAAUGAGAAAUCAGUUCAAAGGCUGGAUUCCAAACUGGCAUGAGCCUGUCCCCAGUGUUGGUGUCUCGUCUCCAUGUGGUCUUUUGCCAACUCAUCUGCUUUUGCCCCCGACCUGCCCUUGGGCAGAAUCCAGUGCAGAUCCUCAUGCAUUUAGGAAGGGUGUCUGAAGGCUUACUCAGCAGCCACCAGUCAUCAUGUCUUUUCUAUUUUCUAUUACCACAUUCAGUUACAAACAGGUACACAAAUAUGAAGAGAAAUGGAGGGCAAGGGACGUAAGAUGGUGCAUGUUUCUCCUGCCCUGGUAAAACGUCUUCUCUGGCAAUAUUAUCUCCGUUGGUAGAAUGGUUGCCUGUGACAGGAAGAGGUCGUGGGGGUAGGCAGAGCAGGGUAAGGUUUUAAACAAAUUCUUUUUUGCAAUAUUUACUGAUUAUUUUAUUUUUUCUCCAUUGAAGAGACUCUUUUUUCUUUUUUUGCUCUAUUCAGCCAUUUUAUGCUUUAACUCUGCAGACAAUAACAAAAAAUACACUAAACUACAUUUAGACAGAUGGGAAGAAAUGGAGAAAAGAACAAUUACUCAAAACACUAAGCUGAAGCUGAGUGUUGUGGCAUGCACUCACAGUCCCAGCUACUCAGGCAGGAGGAUCGCUUGAGCCCAGGAGUUCAAGGCCGCAGUGAGCCAUGAUUGCACCACAGCACUCCAGCCUGGGCAACAGAGCAAAACCCUGUCUCAAAAACAAAACAAAACAAAAAACCCCACUAAGUUGAUGAAAAUGGUCAACUUUUUUUGCCUAUGGACAUCUACAUGCGCCCGCAUCAUUUGUUGAAAAGAUUGACCUUUCCCCAUUAAAUUGUUUUAUCAGUUACACAUUAAGUUUCUAUGAGAGUAAGAAGAACAAUAGGUUUGGAAGAAGGUUUGAAGAUACAAGUCAAAGUCUGAAAGAGACUUGUUCUAAUGUGGAAUAACUCAUAAGUUUUUCUGAUUAAACUGUUAAUUUUCAUAGAAUUAUAGACUCACAUGCAGUUGUAAGAAAUAAUACAGAGAACUCCUGUGGAUUCUUUACACAGUUUCCCCAGUGGUAAACUUGGAAAGUUAUAGUAGAAUAUCACAGCCAGGAUAUUGACACUGAUACAAAGUACAGGACAGUUUCACCAUCAUAAAGAUCUUUUGUGUUGCUCUUCUAGAUAGCCACACCUACCCCACCCCACCACUGUCCCUGGCCUCCGACAACCACUAAUCUGUUUUCCAUUCUUUAAUUUUGCUACUUCAAUAAUGUUAUAUAAAUAGGACAAUACAGGAUACAA